ACCCAGGCUCUCUUGGGAGCCACUUUAUAUAUAUUGGGAAGGAAUA
This is a non-coding RNA of Calypte anna (Anna's hummingbird), 46 nucleotides long. The record is from Rfam. NCBI's taxonomy places the organism in Eukaryota, Metazoa, Chordata, Aves, Apodiformes, Trochilidae.